CUCCCCCUCCCCUGAGAUAUAGCCGAUAACAGCUUACUGUCCCUUUGACUGAAGCAGGACUUAUUACUUAUUGUUUACGACUACUAAAGUUCACAAUUACAAACCUUUCUCUGUGUUACAGGCUUCCCCAAAAUCGAAUUGAAAGGUUUCCUCGAAGCUUCUCGGUUGAGAAGAGAACGCCAGCGAUCGUAAUACUUUCGUGACAGAUAUUCGCAUAUCUGUCGUUGCCUCGCGAGGCGAUCCUUCUCUUUCCACAACUCAGUCGCAAGUGUUCUCUCCUUUUCAAGGCUCCUUUGUCGUCGUUUUGUUUUUCUCCUUUCUCUAUUCAUUCGCCUUAUUUCUUCUUUCGUGUUUUCUCGGCUCUUUUUUCCCAUAGGGACCUAAACAAUGUCACACUUAUUCCCGGGCUGAUUACUUUUUUCGUUCCCGCGUUCGAAAUUCGCGGCGGGAAAAAAUUCCCUUUCCCAAAUAAGGUCAUACAUGAUUUUGUCCCCAGUGUUCUUGCGGUAGUCGAACCAUAUGUGGAAACGCUUUAUCGGAGCCCAUGGUAGCAUAUGUCAGCGGAUUUUUAUCUUGGAUGUCAUUUUGUGUCGUGAAUGACUUCAAGGUUUUCGUUGUGGGAACGCUUUUAUUUCCGGUCAGAAACAUGGAUAUUUGACCUCAACUGAACAGGUUCAGCCACAGAAAACUGUAAGAUUUUUCAGCCUUGACGAUAAUUAUGCAGCUCAAAGGAAAUAAUUCUGAAAGUCAAGUAGAAACCAGGACAAGCUGUGGACAAUCAGAACAACCACCUGAUAUGACAUUUGGGUCAAUUGUCUGGAGAGCUCUACAUUCAUUUCCUGUAAGUGAGCUGGUUUGGUCUCAAACGAAGAAUCAAGACGGUCUCGUUGUCUUGUCGCUCACCAAGACACCUGAAAGAUAAAAUACGAUUUACGUACAUGUUUCAAACUUUGGACAAGUAAAUGUAGCUUUCCUUGCGCUUGUUGAAGUCAAGGUUCAUAAAGAGCCUAUAAAACAUGUACACUGAGCAGGUUGUUUAUAAAUCUUUUACCAGUCGAGAAAGGCUGGAGGUUAGUUAUAAUUGACAGAUAAUACAUGUAAGUCAGGGAGAGAAUAGGAAUAAAGAAUUCUAUCUUGAUGUUUGAUUGUUAUUUUUUUUUUUUUUCUUGAGGCCUCAAUUUUAUCAUGUAUGUUCUUUUUAAUGUCUGCAGUAAAUAGACUCUUUUUUACUUACUCGCUCACCCAUUCACACUGAAUAAUUACCUUAAAAGGGAAGUCUUUUCCCAUUCAUCUUCUACUUUCUGCUUGUAUUUUCUGUAGCACUGUCUCUGUUCUCUCUUGGCUUCGGUUAGGGACUUUCUCUUCCGAAGCUGGAGCUCUGGGAGUUUGGUUAAAACCUCUCCAAAGGAUGUACUGCAUACUUUCUGAAAGGUGGCAUCUAUUUUGUUGUAGAGAGCCCUGGCAAUGUCUUUGACUUCUCCUGCUUUCCUUGGUCUAAUCUUCUCUUUGCCAGCAGUAAAAAAGGGAUUUUCCUUUGCUAUCCCCAAAAAUUGAUUCGACUUCACAGGGAGUAAAGC
Molecule: long non-coding RNA, 1577 nt
Organism: Orbicella faveolata
Lineage: Eukaryota; Metazoa; Cnidaria; Anthozoa; Scleractinia; Merulinidae
Source: RefSeq, a predicted model, not a curated record